Molecule: unclassified non-coding RNA, 1215 nt
Filed under: Hevea brasiliensis (rubber tree)
Lineage: Eukaryota; Viridiplantae; Streptophyta; Magnoliopsida; Malpighiales; Euphorbiaceae
Source: RNAcentral
AUAAACGAGAAUAAACAAAUCCUUGUGUCAUUCGCCUAAUAUUAACAAAUUUGCAACCAUGUCUUCCAUAAUUCUAAUAAUUAAAUCAAAGGUUGCCAUCUACCCUUUCUUUCUCCCUUUCAAAUUGGCCACAAAACCAAGGCAAAGCCACAUUUCUUCCAUCAUCAACCAUUUCUUUACUCAAAAUACAAAAGAUGAAAAAUCAUGACCAUGGCCUCCAGUUCUUGCUUUUUGAUGUUGUCAGUGGGCCCACAUCACCCUCACCGUCCGAUCAAAUGUCAACGUUUUAGGUUUACCUUACAUCAAGAAGCCAAGCCCCCACAGGAGACACCCAGCUACCAGGUUACUCAUGAGGAAUCAUGACUAUGGCCUUGUUGUGGGUCUAGCUUCCUGGAGGUGCUGUUAUCCAUGAAAAUGAAGAUUACCGAUUUACCUUGGUUUGGCUCUCAAACCCAACCCAAGGUAAAGUUGGCACUGUAUAAUAGUUUUACCAAUCUUGAAGCCUGGAACGACAGUGAAUGCAACUGGUGGGUCAGCUUCUGGUGCAUUUUCGGACGAAAGCAGUGCAUCCUCACAUACACAUUCCAUGUAAACUUCAGAAAAUCGACAGCCGCUGCGUACUUGAAAGAUUGAGGCCUCUGGCUCGAAAGAAAAGGCCAAGCAAUGUAGAAGCCACACUCGCUUUGCCAUUUCAGCAAAUGAGGUGAAGAAGGUAGUGUCAGGGAAUUCACCAGAAUUCACAAGGUUUCUUUGGCUUAAAUUGCCAAAGAAUGAUGUUUCCAUCUGGGGAUGAACAAGUUGCAAGUACUUGGCCCGGCAAAAUUUUGUGCAAAUGUCGAUUUGGGAUUCUCUGCAAGAUGUUCCUUCGCUUUGACAGAUUUUAGUUCUGUGAAUCUCCUGAGAAAGUAAUGUUGCUUGUUCUUUCCCUUUGGCAAAGACUCGCAAGGAAGGGAGAAGUUUGGCAAAUUGAAAGCUUCAAACAUCUCCCUGCAAACAAAGCAUUCAAAUGCAAAACAUUUGUCAUCAGCUCUCCAGUAGACCACGUUUGAUACAAUCGAAUUGGCUGCAGCGUCAAGAUUCCAAUCAGCAGCUUCCAUCUGAUAAAUCAUCAGCUUGACAAAGCUUCGGAUCGACUUGACUGUAAAGCGAACAACUGCUAGGAAAUGGCUAGGACUCAAACCUGAUAGGUGAAGAUUGUCAGGCAUAGACAGCUGU